This 73-nucleotide transfer RNA is filed under the name Trichonephila inaurata madagascariensis. It matches the Rfam family "tRNA". From Rfam's summary of the family: Transfer RNA (tRNA) molecules are approximately 80 nucleotides in length. Lineage: Eukaryota; Metazoa; Arthropoda; Arachnida; Araneae; Nephilidae. The record is from Rfam by way of RNAcentral.
GCCCCUGUAGCGCGAUGGAUAGCGCAUUGGACUUCUAAUCCAAAGAUCGUGGGUUGGAAUCCCACCUGGGAUG